RNAcentral lists this ribosomal RNA (253 nucleotides) under uncultured bacterium. Its description in RNAcentral is "partial 16S ribosomal RNA". It matches the Rfam family "Bacterial small subunit ribosomal RNA", at positions 524 to 776 of the family's 1533-position model. The record is from RNAcentral.
UACGUAGGGUGCAAGCGUUGUCCGGAAUUAUUGGGCGUAAAGGGCUCGUAGGCGGUCCAUCACGUCGGGAGUGAAAAGCUGGGGCUUAACCCCAGUCCUGCUUCCGAUACGGGUGGACUAGAGGUAGGUAGGGGAGAACGGAAUUCCUGGUGUAGCGGUGAAAUGCGCAGAUAUCAGGAGGAACACCGGUGGCGAAGGCGGUUCUCUGGGCCUUACCUGACGCUGAGGAGCGAAAGUGUGGGGAGCGAACAGG